RNAcentral lists this ribosomal RNA (162 nucleotides) under Meconopsis simplicifolia. RNAcentral describes it as "5.8S ribosomal RNA". The stretch from base 18 to 162 matches the Rfam family "5.8S ribosomal RNA". Rfam says of the family: 5.8S ribosomal RNA (5.8S rRNA) is a component of the large subunit of the eukaryotic ribosome. Lineage: Eukaryota; Viridiplantae; Streptophyta; Magnoliopsida; Ranunculales; Papaveraceae. The record is from RNAcentral.
AGAUCUGAUCUUCGAACGACUCUCGGCAACGGAUAUCUCGGCUCUCGCAUCGAUGAAGAACGUAGCGAAAUGCGAUACUUGGUGUGAAUUGCAGAAUCCCGUGAACCAUCGAGUUUUUGAACGCAAGUUGCGCCCCAAGCCUUUGGGCCGAGGGCACGCUUG